UCGCCUGUUUAUCAAAAACAUCGCCUAAAGAUAUAAAAUUUUAGGUACCGCCUGCCCAGUGAGAACUUCAACGGCCGCGGUAUCCUGACCGUGCAAAGGUAGCAUAAUAAUUUGUCUUAUAAUUUAAGACUAGAAUGAACGGCAUUACGAAAUAAUUUCUGUCUCCCCUUUUAAAUUUUAAAUAAAACUUAAAGUGAAAAUUCUUUAAUUUAACAAAAAGACAAGAAGACCCUAUAGAGCUUCAAUUAUAACCUUUCAAUAAAGUAAAAAUUUUUGCUGGGGCGGCAAGAAAAUAUUUAAAACUUUUCUUUUCAAAAGAUAAAUAAUCAUAAAAUCCUUCUUUAAGAAAUAUAUAGCUACCUUAGGGAUAACAGACUAAUCUUAUUUAAGAGUUCUAAUCGAAAAUAAGGAUUGGCACCUCGAUGUUGGCUUAGGAUAUUUCCUUUUUGCAGCAGAAAAGAAAAAUGGUUUGUUCAACCAUUAAAAUCCUACAUGAUCUGAGUUCAAAACCGGAGA
This 516-nucleotide ribosomal RNA is filed under the name Syllides cf. japonicus MTA-2010. Its description in RNAcentral is "partial 16S ribosomal RNA". It matches the Rfam family "Bacterial large subunit ribosomal RNA", at positions 1796 to 2624 of the family's 2925-position model. Lineage: Eukaryota; Metazoa; Annelida; Polychaeta; Phyllodocida; Syllidae. The record is from RNAcentral.